GGAUUUGAUCCUGGUCCAGGAUGAACGCUGGCGGUGUGCCUUAAGCAUGCAAGUAGAGCGAGACUCGCAAGAGUUUAGCUGCGAACGGCUGAGUACAAAAUAGCAAUUUAUCCCUUGGCGGGGAAUACCUAUCCGAAAGGGUAGCUAAUACCGCAUAAGACCUUACGGUGAAAGCACGUAACUGUGCACCGAGGGAGAAGCCUAUUACCCAUCAGUUUGUUGGUAGGGUAAUGGCCUACCAAGACUACGACGGGUAGGGGACGUGAGAGCGUGACCCCCCAGAAUGGGACUGAGACACGGCCCAUACACCUACGGGUGGCAGCAACUGGGAAUCGUGCGCAAUGGGCGAAAGCCUGACGCCGCGACGCCGCGUGUGGGAUGAAGGCCUUCGGGUCGUAAACCACUUUUAACGUAAAGCAUUGCUUUACGUGGAAUAAGCACCUGCUAACUCUGUGCCAGCAGCCGCGGUAAUACAGAGGGUGCAAGCGUUAUCCGGAUUUAUUGGGCGUAAAGCGUUUCGUAGGCGAUUUGGUAAGUUAGACUUCAAAGACCAGGGCUCAACCUUGGGAAGGGGUCUAAUACUGUCAGAUUUGAAAUAUUCUGGGGCUACUGGAACUGUUGGUGUAGGGGUGAAAUCCGUUGAUAUCAACAGGAACAUCAAGGGCGAAGGCGGGUAGCUAAGAAUUUUUUGACGCUGAGGAACGAAAGCUAGGGGAGCGAAAGGGAUUAGAGACCCCUGUAGUCCUAGCCGUAAACUUUGCUCGCUAGGGAUUGGGAGUUUACUCUCAGUUCCGUAAGCUAACGCGUUAAGCGAGCCGCCUGGGGAGUACGAGCGCAAGCUUAAAACUCAAAGGAAUUGACGGGGACCUGCACAACCAGUGGAGCAUGUGGUUUAAUUCGAGACGAAACGAAGAACCUUACCCGGGUUUGACAUGUUAUCGUUUAGUUUUCUAGAAAUAGAGAAUAAUCCGCAAGGAUGAUAACACAGGUGUUGCAUGGCUGUCGUCAGCUCGUGCCGUGGGGUGUUCCCUUCAGUGGGGUAACGAGCGCAACCCCUGUCGUAUGUUAAAUAUUCAUACGAGACUAUCCACCUUUUGGUGGAAGGAAGUGGGGACGACGUCAAGUCAGCAUGGCCCUUAUGUCCGGGGCGACACACAUGCUACAAUGGAGCCGACAAUGGGUUGCCAAGCCGUAAGGCGGAGCUAAUCCCAUCAAACGGCUUCUCAGUGGGGAUUGAGGGCUGAAACUCGCCCUCAUGAACAUGGAAUUGGUAGUAAUCGCGGGUCAGCUAUACCGCGGUGAAUACGUUCUCAGGUCUUGUACACACCGCC
This 1331-nucleotide ribosomal RNA is filed under the name metagenome. RNAcentral's name for it is "bacterial SSU rRNA". It matches the Rfam family "Bacterial small subunit ribosomal RNA". The record is from RNAcentral.